GAACAAACGCUGGCGGCGUGCCUAACACAUGCAAGUCGAACGAGAAAGUCGGUUUCGGCCGAUGAGUAAAGUGGCGCACGGGUGAGUAACGCGUGGAUAAUCUACCCUUUAGUCCGGAAUAACUUGCCGAAAGGUGAACUAAUACCGGAUGACAUCCCGGGUUCUCCGGAAACCGGGAUCAAAGAAGGCCUCUGCUUGCAAGCUUUUGCUGAAGGAUGAGUCCGCGUACCAUUAGCUAGUUGGUGGGGUAAUGGCCUACCAAGGUUAUGAUGGUUAGCUGGUCUGAGAGGAUGAUCAGCCACACUGGAACUGAAACACGGUCCAUACACCUACGGGUGGCAGCAGUAGGGAAUAUUAGUAAUGGGCGAAAGCCUGAACUAGCAACGCCGCGUGUGCGAAGAAGGCCUUCGGGUCGUAAAGCACUUUUUGAGAGGAUGAGGAAGGACGGUACUCUCAGAAUAAGUCUCGGCUAACUACGUGCCAGCAGCCGCGGUAACACGUAGGAGGCAAACGUUAUCCGGAUUUACUGGGCGUAAAGCGCGUGUAGGUGGUUUGGUAAGUAGGGCGUGAAAGCUCCUGGCUCAACUGGGAGAGGACGUUCUAAACUGCCAAGCUUGAGGAUGGUAGAGGGAGGUGGAAUUCCGGGUGUAGCGGUGGAAUGCGCAGAUAUCCGGAGGAACACCAGUGGCGAAGGCGGCCUCCUGGACCAUUCCUGACACUCAGACGCGAAAGCNAGGGUAGCAAACGGGAUUAGAGACCCCGGUAGUCCUAGCCCUAAACGAUGUAGACUAGGCGUCGGAAGCUUAAUCGCUUUCGGUGUCCAAGCUAACGCGAUAAGUCUACCGCCUGGGGACUACGGCCGCAAGGUUAAAACUCAUAGGAAUUGACGGGUCCCCGCACAAGCAGCGGAGCGUGUGGUUUAAUUCGUUGCUACACGAAGAACCUUACCUGGGUUUGACAUAGCAGUGGUAGGGAAGCGAAAGCGGACCGACCCUUCGGGGAGCUGUUACAGGUGUUGCAUGGCUGUCGUCAGCUCGUGUCGUGAGAUGUUCGGUUAAGUCCGCUAACGAGCGCAACCCGCGUUGUGUGUUACAAGUGUCACACAAUACCGCCGGUAUUAAGUCGGAGGAAGGUGCGGAUGACGUCAAGUCAGCAUGACCUUUAUAUCCAGGGCUACACACACGCUACAAUGGUCAGCACAAUAGGUUGCCAAGUCGUGAGACGGAGCCAAUCCUCCAAAGCUGGCCUCAGUUCAGAUUGCAGGCUGCAACUCGCCUGCAUGAAGUUGGAGUUGCUAGUAACCGCAGGUCAGCUAUACUGCGGUGAAUACGUUCCCGGGGAU
This 1342-nucleotide ribosomal RNA is filed under the name uncultured bacterium. RNAcentral describes it as "bacterial SSU rRNA". It matches the Rfam family "Bacterial small subunit ribosomal RNA", at positions 27 to 1381 of the family's 1533-position model. The record is from RNAcentral.